RNAcentral lists this long non-coding RNA (1053 nucleotides) under Androctonus crassicauda. Lineage: Eukaryota; Metazoa; Arthropoda; Arachnida; Scorpiones; Buthidae. The record is from RNAcentral.
AGGGGCCCGUUCGCUCGGGCCCCUCUAGGGUUUUUAUCAUCUAUAUACAAGCUGCCGAGUGGGCUGUGGCUCAUUCGGAAAACGAUUUGGAGAUUCAUGGCAUCUCCUUGUCAGUUAAGUGGAAAUAUCUUUUAAGAUGACAAUAGUCUGAAACAAUCCUUACUUCAUUUUUAGUUAAUUCAAGCAACUUUCUAAUUCUCUGCAGAGAAGGACUUGGAAUAAGAGAUUAAAAGUUUAUCACUGAACUUCCAAUGAGAGAAGUAGUAACUAAUCAUUCUCUGACAACCUUCCAAAUGCAAUAGAUGGGAUGCCUAAGACAAGCUUAAGUCCAAUAAAAAAUUAAGAAACACCUUUCUUGCUAACCUGUCAGCAACCACCAUUGCCAAUCUCACAAAAAUUAUAUAACAACAAACAACUAAUAGUUUAAAGAAUAAUAUUUAUUAACCUUUGCUUAUAUAAUUUUUUGUCUUAUUAACAAAAGUUGUCUAGAAUUGCUCUUUAUUGAAGUCACAUUGUGUCUGGUCAUCAAAAUUACUGCCACACAGAAACAAGAUGACAGAUGAAAACUUCUUCCAUCUGUAUGAUAAGGAUGUGACAUGGUGAUCAUCUGGCCAUUGAGCAGGUCAUUGCACCAUUAUUUAAAUUUCUCUCUCUUUCAUCAGAACCAUAUUCAACUCAUCUACAUGCCCAGAUUAAGCCUGAAGCAGCUAAUCAUCUAUAGUGUGGGUUGAAGGAUUAUUCUCCUAAAUUGAAUUAAUACAUUUUUCUGAAGAUUUAUAUAUUUUUCUCAUGGAAUGCCUGGUUACAGAUUGGAUGACUAGAGCAUCUCUCUAUGGACUAGGCAACUUAUUUUCGUUACUAACUCCCAGGUUGCACAUAAAAUUGAGGAGUGAGCCUGGUUUGGGAAUGGCUGGCCACUUAAUUGCAAACUCAUUGUCACCAAUUGCUUUCUGCCCUGACACCCAAAAAAAUUUAAUCCUAUUCAUAAUCAGUUCCAUAAUUAGAUGAUGGCAUUCCCACACAAAUAGGAGCUAUCAAAUACUUUUAAUUCAG